UACGGAGGGUGCGAGCGUUGUCCGGAAUCACUGGGCGUAAAGGGCGCGUAGGCGGCGCGGGGAGUCAACGGUGAAAGCUCGGCGCUCAACGCCGAGUCGGCCGUCGAUACUCCCGUGCUCGAGCACUGUAGAGGCAGGUGGAAUUCCGGGUGUAGCGGUGGAAUGCGUAGAGAUCCGGAAGAACACCGGUGGCGAAGGCGGCCUGCUGGGCAGUAGCUGACGCUGAGGCGCGACAGCGUGGGGAGCAGACAGG
RNAcentral lists this ribosomal RNA (253 nucleotides) under uncultured bacterium. RNAcentral's name for it is "partial 16S ribosomal RNA". It matches the Rfam family "Bacterial small subunit ribosomal RNA", at positions 524 to 776 of the family's 1533-position model. The record is from RNAcentral.